Molecule: ribosomal RNA, 521 nt
Filed under: uncultured bacterium
Lineage: Bacteria
Description: bacterial SSU rRNA
Rfam family: Archaeal small subunit ribosomal RNA
Source: RNAcentral
GACCUCCGCAAUGUGAGAAAUCGCGACGGGGGGAUCCCAAGUGCCAUUCUUAACGGGAUGGCUUUUCAUUAGUGUAAAGAGCUUUUGGAAUAAGAGCUGGGCAAGACCGGUGCCAGCCGCCGCGGUAACACCGGCAGCUCUAGUGGUAACAAUUUUUAUUGGGCCUAAAGCGUCCGUAGCCGGUUUAAUAAGUCUCUGGUGAAAUCCUGCAGCUUAACUGUGGGAAUUGCUGGAGAUACUAUUAGACUUGAGACCGGGAGAGGUUAGAGGUACUCCCAGGGUAGAGGUGAAAUUCUGUAAUCCUGGGAGGACCGCCUGUUGCGAAGGCGUCUAACUGGAACGGUUCUGACGGUGAGGGACGAAAGUUAGGGGCGCGAACCGGAUUAGAUACCCGGGUAGUCCUAACUGUAAACGAUGCGGACUUGGUGUUGGGGUGGCUUUGAGCUGCUUCAGUGCCGAAGGGAAGCUGUUAAGUCCGCCGCCUGGGAAGUACGGUCGCAAGACUGAAACUUAAAGGAAUU